GGGUUGUCAUGCCAAUGGCACUGCCCGGUAGCUAAAUGCGGAAGAGAUAAGUGCUGAAAGCAUCUAAGCACGAAACUUGCCCCGAGAUGAGUUCUCCCUGAGACUAUAAGUCUCCUGAAGGAACGUUGAAGACGACGACGUUGAUAGGCCGGGUGUGUAAGCGCAGCGAUGCGUUGAGCUAACCGGUACUAAUGAACCGUGAGGCUUAACCUG
RNAcentral lists this ribosomal RNA (213 nucleotides) under Klebsiella pneumoniae. RNAcentral's name for it is "partial 23S ribosomal RNA". It matches the Rfam family "Bacterial large subunit ribosomal RNA", at positions 2718 to 2925 of the family's 2925-position model. Lineage: Bacteria; Pseudomonadati; Pseudomonadota; Gammaproteobacteria; Enterobacterales; Enterobacteriaceae. The record is from RNAcentral.